This 157-nucleotide ribosomal RNA is filed under the name uncultured bacterium. RNAcentral's name for it is "partial 16S ribosomal RNA". It matches the Rfam family "Bacterial small subunit ribosomal RNA", at positions 355 to 509 of the family's 1533-position model. The record is from RNAcentral.
UGAGGAAUAUUGGUCAAUGGGCUUACGCCUGAACCAGCCAAGUCGCGUGAGGGAAGACUGCCCUAUGGGUUGUAAACCUCUUUUGUCAGGGAGCAAUUGGCGCUACGUGUAGCGUUAUCGAGAGUACCUGAAGAAAAGCAUCGGCUAACUCCGUGCC